This 253-nucleotide ribosomal RNA is filed under the name uncultured bacterium. Its description in RNAcentral is "partial 16S ribosomal RNA". It matches the Rfam family "Bacterial small subunit ribosomal RNA", at positions 524 to 776 of the family's 1533-position model. The record is from RNAcentral.
UACAGAGGUCUCAAGCGUUGUUCGGAUUAAUUGGGCGUAAAGGGUGUGUAGGUGGCGCGCUAAGUCGGGUGUGAAAUUUCGGAGCUUAACUCCGAAACUGCAUUCGAUACUGGCGUGCUUGAGGACUGGAGAGGAGACUGGAAUUCAUGGUGUAGCAGUGAAAUGCGUAGAGAUCAUGAGGAAGACCAGUGGCGAAGGCGGGUCUCUGGACAGUUCCUGACACUGAGACACGAAGGCCAGGGGAGCAAACGGG